Molecule: ribosomal RNA, 301 nt
Filed under: uncultured bacterium
Lineage: Bacteria
Description: partial 16S ribosomal RNA
Rfam family: Bacterial small subunit ribosomal RNA
Source: RNAcentral
CAGCCGCCGCGGUAAUACGUAGGGUGCGAGCGUUAAUCGGAAUUACUGGGCGUAAAGCGUGCGCAGGCGGUUUGUUAAGACAGAUGUGAAAUCCCCGGGCUUAACCUGGGAACUGCAUUUGUGACUGGCCGGCUAGAGUAUGGCAGAGGGAGGUGGAAUUCCACGUGUAGCAGUGAAAUGCGUAGAUAUGUGGAGGAACACCGAUGGCGAAGGCAGCCUCCUGGGCCAAUACUGACGCUCAUGCACGAAAGCGUGGGGAGCAAACAGGAUUAGAUACCCGCGUAGUCCCUGUCUCUUAUAC